UGGGGAAUUUUGGACAAUGGGCGCAAGCCUGAUCCAGCCAUGCCGCGUGCGGGAAGAAGGCCUUCGGGUUGUAAACCGCUUUUGUCAGGGAAGAAAUCUUCUGAGUUAAUACCUCGGGAGGAUGACGGUACCUGAAGAAUAAGCACCGGCUAACUACGUGCCAGCAGCCGCGGUAAUACGUAGGGUGCAAGCGUUAAUCGGAAUUACUGGGCGUAAAGCGUGCGCAGGCGGUUUUGUAAGACAGAGGUGAAAUCCCCGGGCUCAACCUGGGAACCGCCUUUGUGACUGCAAGGCUUGAGUGCGGCAGAGGGGGAUGGAAUUCCGCGUGUAGCAGUGAAAUGCGUAGAUAUGCGGAGGAACACCGAUGGCGAAGGCAAUCCCCUGGGCCUGCACUGACGCUCAUGCACGAAAGCGUGGGGAGCAAACAGGAUUAGAUACCCUGGUAGUCCACGCCCUAAACGAUGCCAACUGGUUGUUGGGAAGGUUCCUUCUCAGUAACGUAGCUAACGCGUGAAGUUGACCGCCUGGGGAGUACGGCCGCAA
Molecule: ribosomal RNA, 543 nt
Filed under: uncultured bacterium
Lineage: Bacteria
Description: partial 16S ribosomal RNA
Rfam family: Bacterial small subunit ribosomal RNA
Source: RNAcentral